ACGAAACGCGUCUAUACCUGGU
Molecule: microRNA, 22 nt
Filed under: Gyrodactylus salaris (gyrodactylosis fluke)
Lineage: Eukaryota; Metazoa; Platyhelminthes; Monogenea; Gyrodactylidea; Gyrodactylidae
Description: gsa-miR-9390-3p
Source: miRBase by way of RNAcentral